Molecule: ribosomal RNA, 388 nt
Filed under: uncultured bacterium
Lineage: Bacteria
Description: bacterial SSU rRNA
Rfam family: Bacterial small subunit ribosomal RNA
Source: RNAcentral
AUUGAACGCUGGCGGCAUGCUUUACACAUGCAAGUCGAACGGCAGCACGGGUGCUUGCACCUGGUGGCGAGUGGCGAACGGGUGAGUAAUGCAUCGGAACGUGCCUAUGAGUGGGGGAUAGCCCGGCGAAAGCCGGAUUAAUACCGCAUACGCCCUUAGGGGGAAAGCGGGGGAUCUUCGGACCUCGCGCUAUUGGAGCGGCCGAUGUCGGAUUAGCUAGUAGGUGAGGUAAAGGCUCACCUAGGCGACGAUCCGUAGCUGGUCUGAGAGGAUGAUCAGCCACACUGGGACUGAGACACGGCCCAGACUCCUACGGGAGGCAGCAGUGGGGAAUUUUGGACAAUGGGCGCAAGCCUGAUCCAGCCAUGCCGCGUGAGUGAAGAAGGCC